UACGCUCAAAUCACACUGAAAACACCGGUUCUCGUUCGAUCAGCGAAGUUAACCAGCGUAGAUACCGAUCAGUAAUUAGAUGGGAGACCGCUUGGGAACACU
RNAcentral lists this ribosomal RNA (102 nucleotides) under Acanthosepion pharaonis. Lineage: Eukaryota; Metazoa; Mollusca; Cephalopoda; Sepiida; Sepiidae. The record is from RNAcentral.